UAUCCACUGUGGGCGGAGGAAACUUGAGGGGUUCAUUCCUUAGUACGAGAGGACCGGGAAUGACGCACUUCUGGUGUGGCAGUUGUUCCGUCAGGGGCAUCGCUGCGUAGCCAUGUGCGGAAGGGAUAAGCGCUGAAAGCAUCUAAGUGCCAAGCCCAUCCCAAGAUAAGGUUUCCCUGGUCGCAAGACCCUAAAGACUCCGGGUAGACUACCCGGUUGAUAGGUCAGGCGUGCAAGCGCUGCAAGGCGCUCAGCGGACUGAUACUAAUACGUCGUGAGGCUUGAUCGU
This 289-nucleotide ribosomal RNA is filed under the name Planctomycetota bacterium. Its description in RNAcentral is "partial 23S ribosomal RNA". It matches the Rfam family "Bacterial large subunit ribosomal RNA", at positions 2639 to 2925 of the family's 2925-position model. The record is from RNAcentral. Lineage: Bacteria; Pseudomonadati; Planctomycetota.